This 529-nucleotide long non-coding RNA is filed under the name Homo sapiens (human). Its description in RNAcentral is "HSALNT0094943". The record is from RNAcentral. Lineage: Eukaryota; Metazoa; Chordata; Mammalia; Primates; Hominidae.
AGUACUAUUUUUUAAGUGUUCAUUGCUAAAGAUCUUAAAAUAAAAGCAAGAGAGCAAUCUUCUUUGGAUGGUAAGAAUUUAUUCUUGGGCUGGAAGCUGGGAAAGUACUGGAUUCUCCCUCCAUUCCCUUUCUGAUCCCAGAAGUCUUUGGACCACAGUCCCCUGUCAAUUGGUAACACCCAAGAAACAGCAGAUAGAAAAAGCAGUCACCACACAAGCCACCACACCAUGAGCAAGCACAGGACAUUGAGGCUCUCUGGACCAGCCACAGCUGAGCUCAGCAGGACCACACGGUUCUCAGGAGAGUCCUGCAAACCAGCACCAACAUCUCUGGCCCAGAGCCACAUCUGGCCUUCCCACAUGUAUCGUUGGCUGACCAAAAAGCUGACAGCCGGAGAAGGGAAAAGAACAAGAGGAGAUGGUCUCCUGCCCUGUCUUGGAAACAUAAAAGCACUUCCUGGGCUCCAGGAGGCAGCAGAAGGGAUUCAGGCACAGAAGAGGAUAAACCAGGAAGAAAAUUGAGUUAUCA